This 75-nucleotide ribosomal RNA is filed under the name Dendrobium huoshanense. RNAcentral's name for it is "partial 26S ribosomal RNA". Lineage: Eukaryota; Viridiplantae; Streptophyta; Magnoliopsida; Asparagales; Orchidaceae. The record is from RNAcentral.
GUGACCCCAGGAUGGGCGAGGCCACCCGCUGAGUUUAAGCAUAUCAAUAAGCGGAGGAGGAAAAAACUUACAAAA